Molecule: ribosomal RNA, 169 nt
Filed under: uncultured bacterium
Lineage: Bacteria
Description: partial 16S ribosomal RNA
Rfam family: Bacterial small subunit ribosomal RNA
Source: RNAcentral
CCUACGGGAGGCAGCAGUGGGGAAUCUUGGACAAUGGGGGCAACCCUGAUCCAGCCAUGCCGCGUGAGUGAAGAAGGCCCUAGGGUCGUAAAGCUCUUUCGCCUGUGAAGAUAAUGACGGUAGCAGGUAAAGAAACCCCGGCUAACUCCGUGCCAGCAGCCGCGGUAAU